This 378-nucleotide ribosomal RNA is filed under the name Amblyomma triguttatum (ornate kangaroo tick). RNAcentral describes it as "partial small subunit ribosomal RNA". The record is from RNAcentral. Lineage: Eukaryota; Metazoa; Arthropoda; Arachnida; Ixodida; Ixodidae.
UAAACUAGGAUUAGAUACCCUGUUAUUAAUGGGUUAAAUAUUGUGAGUAAGUGAAUUAAUGGAAACAAAAAAAUAUGGCGGUACUUUAAGCUUAUCAGAGGAAUUUGCUCUGUAAUGGAUAAAACACCUGAAUCUUACUAAAGUUAGUUAAAUCAGCUUGUAUACCACUAUAAGAGUAAUAAUUUAUUAUUAUUUCUAUAAUUUUUUCAUAAAAAAAUAAAUUAAGUCAUGGUGCAGCAAAAAUUUUAGAAUGAAGUGAAUUACAUUUCUUUUAAGAAUAAAAAAUUGAAAAAUUAUAUUAGGAUUUGAAAGUAAAUAAAUAAUAACAUGAUUUAUUGAAUUUAGCUCUAAAGUAUGUACACAUCGCCCGUCGCUCUC